This 660-nucleotide long non-coding RNA is filed under the name Homo sapiens (human). Its description in RNAcentral is "HSALNT0167939". Lineage: Eukaryota; Metazoa; Chordata; Mammalia; Primates; Hominidae. The record is from RNAcentral.
GUCUGAAUAGUCAUAAGCUAUCCAUUACUGACCUGCUUCCCAUAAAGAAUGAGCUGAGAGUCCUGACUUAAGACUCAGGAAGGAGUGAAGAUGGACGCUCAGCCUGUUUCAGCAGUGGAUCGUCAUGUGAUUCCACCUUACUUGGGCCAUCAUUCUUGGAAAGUCAUCCAGUUCAUCAAUAUCCUUUAACACUGUUUGGAUUUGUGGGUGUUCAUUCAAGCAGGAAGGGAGGCCUAUGGAGGUGGACUUGCUGCAGAAUAGCUUUCAACGCACAGCCCCGGCUUAGCUUUUCCUCUCUAGACUGGAAUCAAAGCAAACUUCUUGUCUCAAUGCAUGUGAAGGCAGUAAGUUAAUGAAGCAUGACAGUGAUUUUAUGCUCAUUUUUUGGCUAUGGGAUAUUCUACACCCACUUUAGUCCCAAACCAGUGUUAUAUCAGAAAUCAGAAUAUCCAACACAACUUAUUAAUCAAAACUCAAUUUUAUUUAGCAUUGAAGUGGAAGCUAAACAAUGAGAACAUAUGCACACAUAGAACGGAAAAACACUUAGCAGGGCCUUUCAGAAGGUGGGGAGUGGGAGGAGGGAGAGGAUCAGGAAAACUAACUAAUGGAUACUAGGCUUAAUACCUGGGUGAUGAAAUAAUCUGUACCACAAACCCCCAU